This 158-nucleotide non-coding RNA is filed under the name Zostera marina. Its description in RNAcentral is "Eukaryotic large subunit ribosomal RNA". It matches the Rfam family "Eukaryotic large subunit ribosomal RNA", at positions 2825 to 2984 of the family's 3401-position model. Lineage: Eukaryota; Viridiplantae; Streptophyta; Magnoliopsida; Alismatales; Zosteraceae. The record is from Rfam by way of RNAcentral.
GAGAAAUGAUUUUGUGGCCAAACGUUUAUAACGACGUUGCUUUUUGAUCUUUUGAUGUUGGAUCUUCUUACCAUUGUGAAGCAGAAUUCACAAAGUGUUGGAUUAUUCACCCACUAAUAGUAAACGUGAUCUGGGUUUAGACCGUCGUAAGACAGGUU